RNAcentral lists this ribosomal RNA (610 nucleotides) under Lachnospiraceae bacterium. Its description in RNAcentral is "bacterial SSU rRNA". It matches the Rfam family "Bacterial small subunit ribosomal RNA", at positions 694 to 1303 of the family's 1533-position model. The record is from RNAcentral. Lineage: Bacteria; Bacillati; Bacillota; Clostridia; Lachnospirales; Lachnospiraceae.
AGAUCUGGAGGAAUACCGAUGGCGAAGGCAGCUUCCUGGCAUAAUAUUGACACUGAGAUUCGAAAGCGUGGGUAGCAAACAGGAUUAGAUACCCUGGUAGUCCACGCCGUAAACGAUGUCUACUAGCCGUUGGGGUCCUUGAGACUUUAGUGGCGCAGUUAACGCGAUAAGUAGACCGCCUGGGGAGUACGGCCGCAAGGUUAAAACUCAAAUGAAUUGACGGGGGCCCGCACAAGCGGUGGAGCAUGUGGUUUAAUUCGAUGCAACGCGAAGAACCUUACCUGGUCUUGACAUAGUGAGAAUCCUGCAGAGAUGCGGGAGUGCCUUCGGGAAUUCACAUACAGGUGCUGCAUGGCUGUCGUCAGCUCGUGUCGUGAGAUGUUGGGUUAAGUCCCGCAACGAGCGCAACCCUUUUCCUUAUUUGCCAGCGGGUUAAGCCGGGAACUUUAAGGAUACUGCCAGUGACAAACUGGAGGAAGGCGGGGACGACGUCAAGUCAUCAUGGCCCUUACGACCAGGGCUACACACGUGCUACAAUGGUAGGUACAGAGGGUUGCUACACAGCGAUGUGAUGCUAAUCUCAAAAAGCCUAUCGUAGUCCGGAUUGGAG